Molecule: long non-coding RNA, 566 nt
Filed under: Mus spicilegus (steppe mouse)
Lineage: Eukaryota; Metazoa; Chordata; Mammalia; Rodentia; Muridae
Description: lncRNA (ENSMSIG00000009407.1)
Source: RNAcentral
GCCCGCUUAGGUUUCAAAACUGACAGAUCAGCCUCAGCCUACUUCAAGUGCAGGGAUUAAAGAUGUGCUCAUCCAUACCCAGCAAGGGGCUGUCUUUAGAUUCUUGAGCAGACUCAGAAUUAGCACAGCCUGCAUGGGCAGGGACAUUCAGGAUAGACCAUGUUAAAUAUUCCUUUGCCUUGCCUUGAACAGAUCAGUGGGCAGGAACCAGCACUGCUUGUCUGGAUAGAGCCAGAAGACUGCCAGGAUCAAGCACCAGCGCAGGAAAGUCACCAUAGCCACACUUCAGUGGGGCACUCUACAGAAGACAGCAGGGUACUUGCAGAAUGCACAGUAGUGUCCCUGGACUUGCAAGGAGGUUGCUGCAACCAAAGGUCAGCAGGGUUCAGUGAGGUUUGGGGAGCUUUCUGUGAUUGAACAAGACUGAAUGUCUGGGAAAAGGAAAGGUGAUGGGAAUCAUUAAGUAACAUCAUAACUUCAUUUGCAUUUCAGGUUGUGGAAACCAGGACAUCACUGCCUUUCUAUAUGGCAUUGGUUUAGAAUCUUUGAGUCCUAGUGUUAGGUCU